UACGUAGGGACCAAGCGUUGUCCGGAAUCAUUGGGCGUAAAGAGCGUGUAGGCGGCUUGUUAAGUCUUGUGUGAAAUCUCGGGGCUCAACCCCGAGCGGUCAUGAGAAACUGGCAGGCUAGAGUGCGGGAGAGGAGAGUGGAAUUCCUGGUGUAGCGGUGGAAUGCGUAGAGAUCCGGAAGAACACCAGAGGCGAAGGCGGCCUGCUGGGCCUUGUCUGACGCUGAGGCGCGAAAGCGUGGGGAGCGAACAGG
Molecule: ribosomal RNA, 253 nt
Filed under: uncultured bacterium
Lineage: Bacteria
Description: partial 16S ribosomal RNA
Rfam family: Bacterial small subunit ribosomal RNA
Source: RNAcentral